Molecule: ribosomal RNA, 496 nt
Filed under: uncultured bacterium
Lineage: Bacteria
Description: partial 16S ribosomal RNA
Rfam family: Bacterial small subunit ribosomal RNA
Source: RNAcentral
GAUGAACGCUGGCGGCGUGCCUAAUACAUGCAAGUCGAGCGAACGGACGAGAAGCUUGCUUCUCUGAUGUUAGCGGCGGACGGGUGAGUAACACGUGGAUAACCUACCUAUAAGACUGGGAUAACUUCGGGAAACCGGAGCUAAUACCGGAUAAUAUUUUGAACCGCAUGGUUCAAAAGUGAAAGACGGUCUUGCUGUCACUUAUAGAUGGAUCCGCGCUGCAUUAGCUAGUUGGUAAGGUAACGGCUUACCAAGGCAACGAUGCAUAGCCGACCUGAGAGGGGGAUCGGCCACCCUGGACCUGAGACCCGGUCCAGCCUCCUACGGAAGGCAGCAGUAGGGAAUCUUCCGCAAUGGGCGAAAGCCUGACGGAGCAACGCCGCGUGAGUGAUGAAGGUCUUCGGUUCGUAAACCUCUGUUAUUAGGGAAGAACAUAUGUGUAAGUAACUGUGCACAUCUUGACGGUACCUAAUCAAAAAGCCACGGCUACCUCCGG